CAGCUUUGUAGCAAUACAGAGGCUGGCGACCGGCAAACGGGUGCGGAACACGUACAGAACCUUCCUUCGAGCGGGGAAUAGCCCAGAGAAAUUUGGAUUAAUACCCCAUAGUAUUACAGAGUGGCAUCACUUUGUAAUUAAAGAUUUAUCACUUGAAGAUGGCUGUGCGGCUGAUUAGAUAGUUGGCGGGGUAACGGCCCACCAAGUCUGCGAUCAGUAACUGGUGUGAGAGCACGACCAGUCACACGGGCACUGAGACACGGGCCCGACUCCUACGGGAGGCAGCAGUAAGGAAUAUUGGUCAAUGGACGCAAGUCUGAACCAGCCAUGCCGCGUGGAGGAUGAAGGUCCUCUGGAUUGUAAACUUCUUUUAUAUGGGACGAAAAAGGGUCUUUCUAGAUCAACUGACGGUACCAUAUGAAUAAGCACCGGCUAACUCCGUGCCAGCAGCCGCGGUAAUACGGAGGGUGCAAGCGUUAUCCGGAUUCACUGGGUUUAAAGGGUGCGUAGGUGGGCAGAUAAGUCAGUGGUGAAAUCUCUGGGCUUAACCCGGAAACUACCAUUGAUACUAUUUGUCUUGAAUUCUCUGGAGGUAAGCGGAAUAUGUCAUGUAGCGGUGAAAUGCUUAGAUAUGACGUAGAACACCCAUUGCGAAGGCAGCUUACUACGGAGACAUUGACACUGAGGCACGAAAGCGUGGGGAUCAAACAGGAUUAGAUACCCUGGUAGUCCACGCCCUAAACGAUGAUUACUCGACAUUAGCGAUAUUACUGUUAGUGUCUAAGCGAAAGCAUUAAG
RNAcentral lists this ribosomal RNA (798 nucleotides) under uncultured bacterium. Its description in RNAcentral is "bacterial SSU rRNA". It matches the Rfam family "Bacterial small subunit ribosomal RNA", at positions 70 to 864 of the family's 1533-position model. The record is from RNAcentral.